AAUCUGGCUCAGAACGAACGCUGGCGGCAGGCUUAACACAUGCAAGUCGAACGCCCCGCAAGGGGAGUGGCAGACGGGUGAGUAACGCGUGGGAAUCUACCGUACCCUACGGAAUAACGCAUGGAAACGUGUGCUAAUACCGUAUACGCCCUACGGGGGAAAGAUUUAUCGGGGUAUGAUGAGCCCGCGUUGGAUUAGCUAGUUGGUGGGGUAAAGGCCUACCAAGGCGACGAUCCAUAGCUGGUCUGAGAGGAUGAUCAGCCACAUUGGGACUGAGACACGGCCCAAACUCCUACGGGAGGCAGCAGUGGGGAAUAUUGGACAAUGGGCGCAAGCCUGAUCCAGCCAUGCCGCGUGAGUGAUGAAGGUCUUAGGAUUGUAAAGCUCUUUCACCGAUGAAGAUAAUGACGGUAGUCGAGAG
This 421-nucleotide ribosomal RNA is filed under the name Rhizobiaceae bacterium BAS325i. Its description in RNAcentral is "bacterial SSU rRNA". It matches the Rfam family "Bacterial small subunit ribosomal RNA", at positions 16 to 485 of the family's 1533-position model. The record is from RNAcentral. Lineage: Bacteria; Pseudomonadati; Pseudomonadota; Alphaproteobacteria; Hyphomicrobiales; Rhizobiaceae.